UUGGGCCUAAGCAUCCGUAGCCGGCUGCUCAAGUUUCCGGUUAAAUCCACACGCUUAACGUAUGGGCUGCCGGAAAUACUGUUCAGCUAGGGAGUGGGAGAGGUAGACGGUACUCGAUAGGAAGGGGUAAAAUCCUUUGAUCUAUUGAUGACCACCUGUGGCGAAGGCGGUCUACCAGAACACGUUCGACGGUGAGGGAUGAAAGCUGGGGGAGCAAACCGGAUUAGAUACCCGGGUAGUCCCAGCUGUAAACGAUGCAGACUCGGUGAUGCAUUGGCUUAUGGCCAGUGCAGUGCCGCAGGGAAGCCGUUAAGUUUGCCGCCUGGGAAGUACGUACGCAAGUAUGAAACUUAAAGGAAUUGGCGGGGGAGCACAAGCCGA
RNAcentral lists this ribosomal RNA (381 nucleotides) under uncultured Nitrososphaerota archaeon. Its description in RNAcentral is "bacterial SSU rRNA". It matches the Rfam family "Archaeal small subunit ribosomal RNA", at positions 504 to 889 of the family's 1478-position model. Lineage: Archaea; Thermoproteati; Nitrososphaerota. The record is from RNAcentral.